Molecule: non-coding RNA, 969 nt
Organism: Vicugna pacos (alpaca)
Lineage: Eukaryota; Metazoa; Chordata; Mammalia; Artiodactyla; Camelidae
Source: RefSeq, a predicted model, not a curated record
GACGCCCUUCCGGUCUGUAAAGGUUCACCCACCAAGUCUCAGGGGAUCUUUCAGGGGAAAGAUGAGAAAUCCUUGAAAGUACAGUCAGGUCAGGUUCAAAGACUCAGAUAAUCCAGCCAGGCUGAGCCAGCCCACUGGGCAGACUGGCUUCAAAAAAGGCCCCACCCACUGGACACCCUGGACUGCUCCCCAAGAAUCUCUUCAGUCCCCAAGGUCCCUAAGACACUGAGAUGGAGCUGGGAAAGCAAACCUAUUUGCUUCCUCUUGCAGAAAACCCCUUGAGGCUGAGGACGCCUCCUUACCCACCCAGGAGGAUGGGAUGACAGGCUGCUGUUUGCCUUCAUUCAAGGUGGUAUAAUGUCUCACUCCAGGGCAUGAGCUCAGGUCUGACUCCCAGCUCAGUGCUCCUUUAUAACCACCCAUCUCUCCUCCACUCUUUGUUCAGGUUAAUAAACAACAUACAUAAACAGUAUGCAUAUUAUUAUGUAUCCCUGGCAAGUCACAUCCCCUUCGGGCCCUCAGUGUCCCCAUCUGCAGACAAGAGGGCUGGAUCAGAUGGAAAUGCCAAGAUCCUUUGUCACCUUCUUGCUUUAGGAAUCCAGGACUCUGAUAAAUCAACCCUAAAGCCAAGGUACCUCAAGCCAUGCUCUGAUCAUUAUUUGUGGCUGGUGAUGAAACCGAGGUUACAGUUCAAUGAGGUAUCUUUCAUGAGCCUCAAGUGAGGAAAACCUCACCACAUGGCUGUGCACUGCCCAGAGGUGACCAGCCCCUGGGCACAGACAGACAUCCAGCCCCCACUCUACAGUCUGGGAGCAAGGAAAAGUCCCACUUUAAACAGUCAGCCCUGGGGGCCCCCCUUUACUACUGGUAACCGCAAAACUAGAACCCAAUCUUGGACACAUAACCCAGAAACUCAGCCAUGGGGGCCACGUCCUGUCUCCUGUUCACCCUUCUCGACCUCAGGGUGGA